UGAUAGCACUUGCCAAUACUAGCACACAAACAAGCAAAUAGGGAAAACAGGCCCACAGGCCUUUGUUUGUUUUUUUUUCUUCCAUGCAUGGAGCAGCCACAGUGUUGGUUUUGGCGUUCCUGAUCUUGCUGGAGGGAAUUUACUGCGGUUGGCAGAUGGAAGAAACAGUGACAGUCGGUACAGAAAAUCUGUGAGAAGCCUGACGUGGAGGGAAAGCAUGAGCUCUUGGAGUGCCUACUGAAAUACUGUACUUGUGAAAGAUGUAAAAGUGGAAAGAAAGGCAGAGAAGAGAGAAAGAUGAGACAGAUUCUUCUCAGUGCCGUAGAAGUUAAAGAUGACAACUCUUGAUUCUUGCCUCCCCCUCUUGCCCUGAAUCCUGUUCUACUGCUGAGAUUUCAGUGAUUCAGAGUGACCUAAGAAGCUCUCAAGAGAUGGAGAAAGCAAUCUAUGCAGGUAUGAUUCCGUUGUGAUUACCAGAGUAACUGCACCUUAACUGUCCCAAAUAUCAAGCUUCUGGGUCUUGGAUCAGCUGAGUAGUCCUCCUCCCCCCACCCUGUCUGGAAACCCAUGUGCAGCAAUGGAGUGGCUCCACCUCUUCUAGACCCCAUUUAAGAGCUGACUACCACUGGGGAAGGAUCUCUUUUGGAAAUUGCUCCUCUCUGAGUCUUCUCAGCGAGUCCAGGACAAGGGUAAGCUUUCCAUCCAUUUUUCUUUAGCGUGAUAACCUGUUUAGCCUAACUUUCCUGUAUAUUUCU
This is a non-coding RNA of Meleagris gallopavo (turkey), 755 nucleotides long. The record is from RefSeq and is a predicted model, not a curated record. Lineage: Eukaryota; Metazoa; Chordata; Aves; Galliformes; Phasianidae.